RNAcentral lists this ribosomal RNA (322 nucleotides) under uncultured eukaryote. RNAcentral describes it as "partial 18S ribosomal RNA". It matches the Rfam family "Eukaryotic small subunit ribosomal RNA", at positions 1470 to 1796 of the family's 1831-position model. The record is from RNAcentral.
CCCUUAGAUGUUCUGGGCCGCACGCGUGCUACACUGAGUGGAUCAGCGGGUCAGGUUGCGCGAAAGCGUUUCCUAAUCUUUAAAUCCGCUCGUGAUGGGGAUUGACGGUUGCAAUUUUCUGUCAUGAACGAGGAAUACCUUGUAAGCGCGGGUCAUCAUCCCGCGCUGAAUACGUCCCUGCCCUUUGUACACACCGCCCGUCGCUCCUACCGAUUGAGUGGUCCGGUGAGGCUUUGGGAUCUGAGCGGAAAGAGCGUUUCGCUGUUUCUGCUCGGAAAACUCAGUCGAACCUUAUCAUUUAGAGGAAGGGGAAGUCGUAACC